Molecule: transfer RNA, 79 nt
Filed under: Eubacterium sp.
Lineage: Bacteria; Bacillati; Bacillota; Clostridia; Eubacteriales; Eubacteriaceae
Description: tRNA-Leu
Rfam family: tRNA
About the family: Transfer RNA (tRNA) molecules are approximately 80 nucleotides in length.
Source: RNAcentral
GCCGCUGUGGCGGAAUGGCAGACGCAUGCGACUCAAAAUCGCACGGGAAACCGUAUGGGUUCAAGUCCCAUCAGCGGCA